UUACAGGGUGUCUGGGAGGCUAAUUAACCGGCGUUUUGUUUUGUUAUGCGGAGAAUUUUAGUUUGGCAGUAUUUUUGUGUUUUGCAAAACUGCUGGGAGUUUCAUUUCAAACUUUUUAUUUUUUCUGGACUUUCACUCUUGCCAUUUAGCUCUCCCGUACUGCGUGUGUUUUUGUAUUGUUCAUACAUCGCCGAAGGAAUGUUUUUUUCUUUUUGUUAUUAGAUCCAAAGGCAAACAAGCAAACAUUUGAACUUGGGGAAAAAGAGGCGCAAUGAAUCGGCAUUCUGACAGAGCCCGGAGCUUGGGCUGGCCUAAAAUAACCACCUUGCUGCUUAGAUUGAAUCGCCAUCUUCUGAGGACUGAAGAACGUCAUGAGGAAAUGACUGUAGACGAAACUGGUGGACCAUCUGAUGACUGACUGUUGGAUCUUAUUUUUUCUACAUCUACGCCCUCAAAUGCUCUGUAUUUAUACCGAAAUAACGGUCUCUGAUAUGAAUAGCUGGCACCUUUGAGCAGCUCUGAAUAUGGGAGGCAUAUAUUCACAGCGAUGGUUAAUUCGGUCAGUGCUUUUGAUCCACUGGACUGCAGUGACCUGCCCGCCAUCCUUAGAAAAGCAGAGAGGACCCCCUGCAGACCAGAUGCUCGGUUCUGUUUUUCACGGAGCCGUUACUUCUCAUAAGAGCAGGGGGGGAAACUUCAUGUAGCCUCAGGAAAAUGAAUAAUGAAUCAGAUGUGGAUUAUUUUUCAAUGUACUCUAUUAAAAAUGUUUAAAAUCAA
Molecule: long non-coding RNA, 777 nt
Organism: Anguilla rostrata (American eel)
Lineage: Eukaryota; Metazoa; Chordata; Actinopteri; Anguilliformes; Anguillidae
Exons: 3
Source: RefSeq, a predicted model, not a curated record